Molecule: ribosomal RNA, 484 nt
Filed under: uncultured bacterium
Lineage: Bacteria
Also listed under: 1 other name
Description: bacterial SSU rRNA
Rfam family: Bacterial small subunit ribosomal RNA
Source: RNAcentral
AUUGAACGCUGGCGGUAUGCUUUACACAUGCAAGUCGAACGGCAGCACGGACUUCGGUCUGGUGGCGAGUGGCGAACGGGUGAGUAAUGUAUCGGAACGUGCCCAGUAGUGGGGGAUAACUACUCGAAAGAGUGGCUAAUACCGCAUGAGAUCUCUGGAUGAAAGCGGGGGACCGUAAGGCCUCGCGCUACUGGAGCGGCCGAUAUCAGAUUAGGUAGUUGGUAGGGUAAGAGCCUACCAAGCCAACGAUCUGUAGCUGGUCUGAGAGGACGACCAGCCACACUGGGACUGAGACACGGCCCAGACUCCUACGGGAGGCAGCAGUGGGGAAUUUUGGACAAUGGACGCAAGUCUGAUCCAGCAAUACCGCGUGCAGGACGAAGGCCUUCGGGUUGUAAACUGCUUUUGUACGGAACGAAAAGCCUUCUUCUAAUACAGGGAGGUCAUGACGGUACCGUAAGAAUAAGCACCGGCUAACUACGUG